Paramuricea clavata is the source of this 73-nucleotide non-coding RNA. The record is from the annotation of a GenBank genome assembly. Lineage: Eukaryota; Metazoa; Cnidaria; Anthozoa; Malacalcyonacea; Plexauridae.
GACUCUGUAGCUCAGUUGGUUCGAGCACUGCACUCGAGUCGCAGGGCCGCAGGUUCGAUUCCUGCCAGAGGGU